Molecule: ribosomal RNA, 492 nt
Filed under: uncultured bacterium
Lineage: Bacteria
Description: partial 16S ribosomal RNA
Rfam family: Bacterial small subunit ribosomal RNA
Source: RNAcentral
AGUGGACGCUGGCGGUAGGCCUAACACAUGCAAGUCGAACGGCAGCACAGUAAGAGCUUGCUCUUACGGGUGGCGAGUGGCGGACGGGUGAGGAAUACAUCGGAAUCUACUUUUUCGUGGGGGAUAACGUAGGGAAACUUACGCUAAUACCGCAUACGACCUACGGGUGAAAGCAGGGGAUCUUCGGACCUUGCGCGAUUGAAUGAGCCGAUGUCGGAUUAGCUAGUUGGCGGGGUAAAGGCCCACCAAGGCGACGAUCCGUAGCUGGUCUGAGAGGAUGAUCAGCCACACUGGAACUGAGACACGGUCCAGACUCCUACGGGAGGCAGCAGUGGGGAAUAUUGGACAAUGGGCGCAAGCCUGAUCCAGCCAUACCGCGUGGGUGAAGAGGGCCUUCGGGUUGUAAAGCCCUUUUGUUGGGAAAGAAAAGCAGCAGGUUAAUACCCCGCUGUUCUGACGGUACCCAAAGAAUAAGCACCGGCUAACUUCGUG